UGUAAUUAAAUAUGGCUAUUGAAAAAAAUUCACCUAUUUUUGAUAACUAUUAGAUCUUGAUCCGCACGGUCAACCCUAAAUUAACGUUUUUUAUCACAUGAAAACGUUCUCACCUACCCCUUUUUGACAUAUUUUGGUUGAUUAUUCUGCACACACACUCUCACGUAGAUGAGAUGUAGAAGCCCAUGUAAGAAUUUGAAGAAGUUUGUCUUCCGACGAUAGGGCUCCCCAUAUGAGUGAAUAAACGUAAAUAAAGUUGACCACCUUGAUCGGGACCCAAACGUUAUAAAAAAUAUAUGAUUUUUCUACCAUAGCCGUACUUCACUAUACCUCUCACAUCCUACGGCCAAUUUUUCAAAAUUCUAUUUGAAAAAUAUAGUUGUUUCACAAAGAUGUACACUUGUAUUAAACCUAUUAAACAAAUUAUAGCACACCAAUGGACACAUUGGGGUUCCUAUGACUAAAAUUCACAAAAUUAAAUUUUGACUGUCUGAUGUGAUCAGUGUAAUUAAAUAUGGCUAUUGAAAAAAAUUCACCUAUUUUUAAUAACUAUUAGGUCUUGAUCCGCACGGUCAACCCUAAAUUAACGUCCCUUAUCACACGAAAACGUUCUCACCUACCCCCUUUUGACAUAUUUUGGCUGAUUAUUCCGCACACAAACUCUCACGUAGAUGAGAUGUAGCAAGCCAUGUAAAAAGUUGGGGAAGUUUACCCUUCUGACUAUAGGGCUCCCCAUAUGAGUAAAACCUAAAUAGAGUUGACUGCCUUGAUCGAAACUCAAACGUUAUCGAAAAUAUGUGAUUUUUCUACCAUAGGCGUUUUUCAUUAUACCUCUUAUAUCCUACGGCCGAUUUUUUAAAACUCUAUUUGCAAGAUAUAAUUGGUUCAUAAAGAUGUACUCUUACAUAAAACCUACUAAAUAAAUUACAUCACAAUAAUAGUCAAGUUGAGUUCUAAUGACUAAAAUUCAAAAAAUAAAAUUACCUUUAAAAAGAUUUCGAUCUCAUCAAUAAAAAUUAUAAAGAUUAUUGAGCUCUUAUAUAUAAAGAUUAUUAUUUUUUGUUUGAAAGAAAAAAAAAGAAGAAUAAUAUAGGGAAUAAAUAGAUAUAAGAAAAAAAAAACUUACUUCUCAAUUUUGGCUGAAAAUUCAAGUUUGCCGCUAAAGUUUCCUUCCCGCGCGACCUCAAAUGUCCUCCUGCCCUCUGGAGCCUCAACUCAAGCGCGCGCUGAAUGAUAGAAAACGCCGGCCCUGGCUCUGAAUCUCCCAUCCAUGGCUGCCCAACGCUCUGCCUCAACCAAACUGGAACCCCCAUCACUGUCUCGAUCUCUAUACAAUUAACAAUCCAUCGGCUCCAAUCCUCUCAAUUUGUCUUUGUAGAUUUGCCGUCAUUCCAGAUCAACUCGAACCCAAUCAACAUACCAUAGGUCGUCAUCUCAUCGCUACCCAAUUUUAUUGAAUAAGUAGUACGUGUUUUGAUUGUGUUAUGUGAUAUGGAAGUUUAAUUGUGUUAUGUGAGAUGUAUACUGGACAUGUAUGGGGAAUCAAUAGGACUUGGUGGGUUUAGUUAGAUUUGAGAAAUAUAUUGUGUAUGCGAUUCAUGCCAAAAAGGGUUACGAUUAUACCUAGAAGAUUUAGCUUGCAAGGAGGAUUAGGAACCUUAAUUUGUCUAAAACAACAAGAGCUUAGAAUGAGCAAGGACCUGUAUGCAUAUUUAGCAUCCAUAGAACUGAUUAUUAGGAACCUUAGACUUUGCUUGUGCUGCUGUAAUAUUUGAUCGGGAAACUUCUGUAACUUGAUCAUUUAGUUAGCUUUGAGCAACCAUAUCUUAUGAUUUAGACAUUUGUUUCCGAAUCUAUCUGCAUGUAUUGAAAGCUUAUACUUUAGGCUUGAUAUCUGUGUAGUUUCAUACAAUUUCAUUCAAAAUUCGUUGGUCAACUUACAGGCUGAAAGCGAAGUAUGCAUUCUGCAUAUCACCUUUUUGAGUUUUGGAGCCAGUCAACUUUUUACUAAACGCUGUACAUUUAGGUUGGUUAUUUGAAGUUGGUUUCUUCAUAAAACUUGUAGCAAACAUCCUAGAUAUUAUUCCAGAAUUUAAAUCACUUGAAAAAGAUUUUUGUAGAUUAAGUUAUGAUUUUUCAAAGUUAAGGGUCUGCAGUAGGAAAUUCUGCAGAUCAGUAUUUCUGAGUUUUUGACCCAGCUGCCUUUUUACUG
RNAcentral lists this long non-coding RNA (2212 nucleotides) under Fragaria vesca (wild strawberry). Its description in RNAcentral is "long non-coding RNA (FVES_LNC000683)". The record is from RNAcentral. Lineage: Eukaryota; Viridiplantae; Streptophyta; Magnoliopsida; Rosales; Rosaceae.